CGAACCUGACAGUACCAUGAUCCUUCGGGUGAUUGGAUAGUGAUAGUAAUCAUACUUCCUAGAAAAACCUCUAAGCUUCAGGUUAAUAUAGCCCGUACCUCAAACCGACACAGGUAGUCAAGGAGAGUAUCCUGAGGUGCUCGAGUUAGUCGUGGCUAAGGAACUAGGCAAAUUUACCCCGUAACUUCGGGAUAAGGGGUCCCUACGCGAGUAGGGCGCAGAGAAAUGGCCCAUGCGACUGUUUAACAAAAACAUAUGGCUUUGCAAAAUUGAAAGAUGAAGUAUAAGGCCUGACACCUGCCCGGUGCCGGAAGGUUAAAAGGGGAUGUUAUCAGCAAUGAGAAGCAUUGAAUUGAAGCCCCGGUAAACGGCGGCCGUAACAAUAACGGUCCUAAGGUAGCGAAAUUCCUUGUCGGGUAAGUUCCGACCUGCACGAAUGGUGUAACGAUGUGGGCACUGUCUCAGCCACGCGCUCGGUGAAAUUGUAGUUCCGGUGAAGAUGCCGGAUACCCGCGACGGGACGAAAAGACCCCGUGCACCUUUACUAUAACUUCAUAUUGAUUCUGGUUAAGUGAUGUGUAGGAUAGGACGGAGACUAUGAGGCAUGUUCGCUAGGGCAUGUGGAGUCAUCCUUGAAAUACGUCCCUUUACUUAAUUGGAACCUAAUCCCUUCGGGGAGACAGUGUGUGGUGGGUAGUUUGACUGGGGUGGUCGCCUCCAAAAUCGUAACGGAGGCUUUCAAAGGUACCCUCAGCACGCUUGGUAACCGUGCGUAGAGUGUAAUGGCAUAAGGGUGCUUGACUGUGAGACCGACGGGUCGAUCAGGUAGGAAACUAGGACAUAGUGAUCCGGUGGUUCCGCAUGGAAGGGCCAUCGCUCAAAGGAUAAAAGGUACGCCGGGGAUAACAGGCUGAUCGCUCCCAAGAGCUCACAUCGACGGAGCGGUUUGGCACCUCGAUGUCGGCUCGUCACAUCCUGGGGCUGGAGAAGGUCCCAAGGGUUGGGCUGUUCGCCCAUUAAAGUGGCACGCGAGCUGGGUUCAGAACGUCGUGAGACAGUUCGGUCCCUAUCUGUCGUGGGCGUAGGAAACUUGAGAGGACCUGACAUUAGUACGAGAGGACCGUGUUGGACAAACCUCUAGUGUACCUGUUGUGGCGCCAGCUGCAUCGCAGGGUAGCUACGUUUGGACGAGAUAAGUGCUGAAAGCAUCUAAGCACGAAGCUCCCCUCAAGAUGAGGUUUCCAUUAAGGGUCGUUAUAGACUAUGACGUUGAUAGGCUGCAGGUGUAAAGGCAGUAAUGUCAAAGCCGAGCAGUACUAAUUACCC
This 1326-nucleotide ribosomal RNA is filed under the name metagenome. Its description in RNAcentral is "bacterial LSU rRNA". It matches the Rfam family "Bacterial large subunit ribosomal RNA", at positions 1552 to 2910 of the family's 2925-position model. The record is from RNAcentral.